RNAcentral lists this ribosomal RNA (497 nucleotides) under uncultured bacterium. Its description in RNAcentral is "partial 16S ribosomal RNA". It matches the Rfam family "Bacterial small subunit ribosomal RNA", at positions 899 to 1397 of the family's 1533-position model. The record is from RNAcentral.
ACUCAAAGGAAUUGACGGGGGCCCGCACAAGCGGAGGAGCAUGUGGUUUAAUUCGAUGAUACGCGAGGAACCUUACCUGGGCUUGAAAGUUAGUGACAUUCCGUGAAAACGGGAGUUCCGCAAGGACACGAAACUAGGUGCUGCAUGGCUGUCGUCAGCUCGUGCCGUGAGGUGUUGGGUUAAGUCCCGUAACGAGCGCAACCCCUAUCAUUAGUUGCCAUCAGGUUAAGCUGGGGACUCUAAUGAGACUGCCCGCGCAAGCGGUGAGGAAGGUGGGGAUGACGUCAAGUCAGCACGGCCCUUACGUCCAGGGCUACACACGUGCUACAAUGGCCGGUACAGAAGGUUGCUACCUGGUGACAGGAUGCUAAUCCCAAAAACCGGUCUCAGUUCGGAUUGAAGUCUGCAACUCGACUUCAUGAAGCUGGAUUCGCUAGUAAUCGCAUAUCAGCAAUGAUGCGGUGAAUACGUUCCCGGGCCUUGUACACACCGCCCGU